GAGACGGUGCCGAUCGAGUGUCCUAGCCGUUUCUGUAACGGAUCACGUUGUCUUUUCUACGUCUUUAAUCCCAUUAAUUCAGAUGCUGACUACGAGAUCUUCAAUUGUGUAGUUUCCGUCGGCAAUAUCGGUUAUAAAUAAGUUAGUAUGUGUCUUCUGAAAAUUGUGAUCUCCAAAAUACGCAUCUAGAUACCGGUUGCUCAUGGUGGACGUUAACGUGAGUCAAAAUUCUUACAGAAGUAAGAUAACUGAAACCUCUUCUCUCUUCAUCACUCAUCCAGUCGAGUUACUUUCUCAACAAUUCCUGGUAGUCCUUCAGCAUCUGGUUUAGGUCAAGCAAAAGACCAUCAGAUUCCAGUUGUUUAAGAACGGUGAAUUAAGAUUGCUAAAUGUAUGGUAAUUAUUCGAACAAUUGCAUACAUGUUUCUAAGUUUUUAUUUUCUGGUCGAACGCUAUUUUCGUGAUUGGAGUUUAUAACUGAUGUUUCUGAAGUUUAUAACUUCAUUUGGAGUAUCUUCGAUCUUCACAGCAAAGGCUGUAUGAAAAAGCUCAAGGAAAUGGAUCCUUUCAAUUUUGAAACUGAUAGAACCUGUUGUACCUUGCGGUCUCACCUGUUAGAAAGACGAUUGUAACUGGAGGAGGAGAGGCGACCUUAAGGUUCUGGAAUGUCUUACCAUCCCUGAAAUUUCAGUAUCAGGUGGGAUCUGUGCUGAGCGUGGUCUGCUGGGUGUGACUACAUGUGUAACUAUGCUGGAAGAAAGAGUCAGAUCCAAUGCAAACCACCAAAACCAGGAUUCACUGCAACUGGUACUUAUUAUACUUUUGUUAAUUUAUAGUAAAUAAUCAGCGGAAUUCCUUUUGUAGUUUUCUCAAGGUUUUUUUUUCCUCAAGCUUUUAUUAUAUGGGAAUCAUACUUAUUGUUUUUGGAGUCUGUUACUUUUCAUGCUAUUCAAUUACUCAGAGUUAUUGGCUAAUAUAUCUUGACACUGAGAUUCUUCAGGUUGAUGGAACGUCUUGAUACUUGAAUUCCCUUUCUCAUCUUUUCGUAAGAACCAAGGAGUUUGUUUACAUUGUCACGUUAAAGGCUUAGAGCUUUGCUUUGCUUAGGUUUUACAUUCGAGGUUUACAUUUUUCUUUUUUUUUACUGAAUGUUUACAGUUAUCUUCUAUUUUUUUCUGAACUAUUGUCUAAAGUAUCUAAAAGCAAUAAUAUUUUUUGUUUUUUUAAGUACACACCUAACCACCUCUAUUACCCUUC
Long non-coding RNA from Raphanus sativus (radish), 1257 nucleotides. RefSeq lists it as uncharacterized. Lineage: Eukaryota; Viridiplantae; Streptophyta; Magnoliopsida; Brassicales; Brassicaceae. The record is from RefSeq and is a predicted model, not a curated record. The transcript has 2 exons.